Molecule: ribosomal RNA, 2839 nt
Filed under: human gut metagenome
Description: bacterial LSU rRNA
Rfam family: Bacterial large subunit ribosomal RNA
Source: RNAcentral
UCAAGCUAAUAAGAGCGCAAGGGGAAUGCCUUGGCAUCAGGAGCCGACGAAGGACGUGACAAGCUGCGAUAAGCUACGGUGAGGAGCAAAUAUCCUGUGACCCGUAGAUUUCCGAAUGGGGCAACCCGGCUGGACAAUAUCCAGUCAUCCUGCAUUGAAUCAAAUAGGUGUAGGAAGGGAACCGCCUGAACUGAAACAUCUAAGUAGGGCGAGGAAAAGACAUCAACCGAGAUUCCGCAAGUAGUGGCGAGCGAACGCGGAAGAGGCCAAACCGGAGGAUUUAUUCUCCGGGGUUGCGGACAGCUAUACGGAACAAUAGUUUAGCCGAACGGUCUGGGAAGGCCGGUCACAGAGGGUGAGAACCCCGUAGGCGAAAGACGAAUUGUUUCAGGCUGGAUCCAGAGUACCGCAGGACACGUGAAACCCUGUGGGAAACAGGGGGGACCACCCUCCAAGCCUAAAUACUACCUGAUGACCGAUAGAGGAGCAGUACCGUGAGGGAAAGGUGAAAAGGACCCCGGGAGGGGAGUGAAAGAGAACCUGAAACCUUGUGCUUACAAGCAGUCAGAGCACGUUAAAGUGUGAUGGCGUACUUUUUGUAGAACGGUCCGGCGAGUUAUAGUAACGAGCAAGCUUAAGGUAUUCAGUACCGGAGGCGAAGCGAAAGCGAGUCUGAAUAGGGCGCAUGAAGUUCGUUGCCAUAGACCCGAAACCGGGUGACCUACGCAUGAGCAGGUUGAAGUGGGGGUGAAACCCCAUGGAGGACCGAACCAACCCCCGUUGCAAUGGUGGUGGAUGACUUGUGCGUAGCGGUGAAAUUCCAAUCGAACUCGGAGAUAGCUGGUUCUCCCCGAAAUAGCUUUAGGGCUAGCGUUAGUUUAGAUUACCGGAGGUAAAGCACUGAAUGGUUUAGGGGCUGAUAAAGUUACCGACGCCUAUCAAACUCUGAAUGCCGGAUAAUUGAUGACUAGCAGUCAGACAGUGUGAGAUAAGUUUCAUUGUCAAAAGGGAAACAGCCCAGACCUACAGCUAAGGUCCCAAAUGUAUGCUAAGUGGAAAACGAUGUGGAAUUGCGAAAACAACCAGGAUGUUGGCUUAGAAGCAGCCACACAUUAAAAGAGUGCGUAAUAGCUCACUGGUCGAGUGACUCUGCGCGGAAAAUGUAACGGGGCUAAGCAUGCAACCGAAGCUUAGGAUUGUCUAAAGACAGUGGUAGGGGAGCGUUCUGUAUGGGGUGAAGUCGCAGCGAGAGCAGCGGUGGACUGUACAGAAGUGAGAAUGCCGGAAUGAGUAGCGAGAAUUAUGUGGGAAUCAUAAUGGCCGAAAAUCUAAGGUUUCUUGGGGAAGGUUCGUCCGCCCAAGGUAAGUCGGGAGCUAAGCUCAGGCCGCGAGGCGUAGGCGAUGCACAUACGGUAGAAAUUCCGUAACCACCGAACUUUAAGCAUGAGGGACACUUUGAGAUAGCGGAACCCGGGCGUUGGUUGACCCGGGCGAAAGGGACCGAAAUAUAGUAGGGAAGUCCGCGAUGCUCGGAGGCGAGAAAAGCUCAUGUGUAUACUAAGGUGCCCGUACCGCAAACCGACACAGGUAGAUGAGGAGAGAAUCCUAAGGCCAACGGGAGAAGGGUUGUUAAGGAACUCGGCAAGAUGACCCCGUAACUUCGGAAGAAGGGGAGCCUCGAAAGAGGCCGCAGUGAAUAGGCCCAAGCAACUGUUUACCAAAAACACAGGUUUAUGCUAAAUCGAAAGAUGACGUAUAUGAGCUGACGCCUGCCCGGUGCCGGAAGGUUAAGAGGAGAUGUCAACCGCAAGGUGAAGCAUUGAAUUGAAGCCCCGGUAAACGGCGGCCGUAACUAUAACGGUCCUAAGGUAGCGAAAUUCCUUGUCAGGUAAGUUCUGACCCGCACGAAAGGCGUAAUGAUUUGGGCGCUGUCUCGACAAUGUACUCGGCGAAAUUGUAGUACUAGUGAAGAUGCUAGUUACCUGCGACAAGACAGAAAGACCCCAUGGAGCUUUACUGUAGCUUGAUACUGGGUUUCGAUAAUUUAUGUACAGGAUAGGUGGGAGGCGAAGAAGCAAUUGCGCCAGCAGUUGUGGAGUCAUCCUUGGGAUACCACCCUUAAGUUAUUGAAAUUCUAACCUGUAGUCCUGAGCGGGCUAGGGGACAAUGUCAGGCGGGCAGUUUGACUGGGGCGGUCGCCUCCAAAAGAGUAACGGAGGCGCGCAAAGGUUUCCUCAGCGCGGACAGAAAUCGCGCGAAAGAGUGCAAAGGCAGAAGGAAGCUUAACUGAGAGACUGACAAGUCGACCAGAUACGAAAGUAGGUCUUAGUGAUCCGGCGGUAGUGAGUGGAAAUGCCGUCGCUCAACGGACAAAAGUUACCCUGGGGAUAACAGGCUUAUCUCCCCCAAGAGUUCACAUCGACGGGGAGGUUUGGCACCUCGAUGUCGGCUCAUCACAUCCUGGAGCGGAAGUACGUUCCAAGGGUUGGGCUGUUCGCCCAUUAAAGUGGUACGCGAGCUGGGUUCAGAACGUCGUGAGACAGUUCGGUCCUUAUCUGUCGCAGGCGAAGGAUAUUUGAGGGGAGUUGACCUUAGUACGAGAGGACCAGGUUGAACUUACCAAUGGUGUAUCAGUUGUCGUACCAACGGCACGGCUGAGUAGCUAAGUAGGGAAGGGAUAAACGCUGAAAGCAUCUAAGUGUGAAGCCCACCCCAAGAUAAGAUAUCCCAUACCGUAAGGUAGUAAGAUUCCACGUAGACUAUGUGGUAGAUAGGUUGGAGGUGUAAGUGCAGUAAUGCAUUAAGCUGACCAAUACUAAUAAAUCGAGGGCUUAACCAC